This 211-nucleotide ribosomal RNA is filed under the name uncultured bacterium. Its description in RNAcentral is "partial 16S ribosomal RNA". It matches the Rfam family "Bacterial small subunit ribosomal RNA", at positions 524 to 734 of the family's 1533-position model. The record is from RNAcentral.
UACGUAGGCAGCGAGCGUUGUUCGGAAUUACUGGGCGUAAAGAGUGUGUAGGCGGUGCUCCCAGUCUGUUGUGAAAUCUCCCGGCUUAACUGGGAGGGUGCAGCGGAAACUAGAGUGCUAGAGGGUGGGAGAGGUAAGCGGAAUUCCUGGUGUAGCGGUGAAAUGCGUAGAUAUCAGGAGGAACACCUGUGGUGUAGACAGCUUACUGGAC